Molecule: ribosomal RNA, 262 nt
Filed under: uncultured bacterium
Lineage: Bacteria
Description: partial 16S ribosomal RNA
Rfam family: Bacterial small subunit ribosomal RNA
Source: RNAcentral
GUCCACGCCGUAAACGAUGGGUGCUAGGUGUGGGAGGUGUCGACUCCUUCCGUGCCGCAGCUAACGCAUUAAGCACCCCGCCUGGGGAGUACGGCCGCAAGGCUAAACUCAAAGGAAUUGACGGGGCCCGCACAAGCAGCGGAGCAUGUUGUUUAAUUCGAUGCAACGCGAAGAACCUUACCAGGGCCUUGACAUGCACUGGAAAUCCGUAGAAAUACGGCCCUCCUUCGGGACCAGUGCACAGGUGGUGCAUGGCUGUCGU